RNAcentral lists this ribosomal RNA (331 nucleotides) under uncultured bacterium. RNAcentral's name for it is "bacterial SSU rRNA". It matches the Rfam family "Bacterial small subunit ribosomal RNA", at positions 32 to 353 of the family's 1533-position model. The record is from RNAcentral.
AAUCAACGCUGGCGGCGUGCCUCAGACAUGCAAGUCGAACGAUUAAAGCUCUCUUCGGAGAGUGCAUAGAGUGGCGCACGGGUGAGUAACACGUAAGUAAUCUACCUUCGAGUGGGGAAUAACGUCCGGAAACGGACGCUAAUACCGCAUAAUGCAGCGGCACCUAAUGGUGACAGUUGUUAAAGGAGCAAUCCGCUUGAAGAGGAGCUUGCGGCAGAUUAGCUAGUUGGUAAGGUAACGGCUUACCAAGGCUACGAUCUGUAACCGGUCUAAGAGGACGGUCGGUCACACUGACACUGAAUAACGGGUCAGACUCCUACGGGAGGCAGCA